CAAUAUAUAAAGUCAAUGUAUCACAUUUUUGUGUCAAGAUUGUGGUCAAACUGAGCGGGUUUUAAGAAAAAAAAAUUACACAGCAUGAAAGCACGAAAUCAGGGUGGAAAAAAAACACCGCCCGCCGCUACUACCGAUUGAAUGAUUUAGUGAGGACUUCGGACUGGUCAAUCCAGACCAUUGGGAAACUAGUGGUCGGAUUGUGCUGGAAAGAUGUUCAAACUUGAUCAUUUAGAGGAAGUAAAAGUCGUAACAAGGUUUCCGUAGGUGAACCUGCGGAAGGAUCAUUA
Molecule: non-coding RNA, 290 nt
Filed under: Tetranychus urticae (two-spotted spider mite)
Lineage: Eukaryota; Metazoa; Arthropoda; Arachnida; Trombidiformes; Tetranychidae
Description: Microsporidia small subunit ribosomal RNA
Rfam family: Eukaryotic small subunit ribosomal RNA
Source: Rfam by way of RNAcentral